RNAcentral lists this ribosomal RNA (1728 nucleotides) under Salmonella enterica. RNAcentral's name for it is "partial 23S ribosomal RNA". It matches the Rfam family "Bacterial large subunit ribosomal RNA", at positions 1 to 1660 of the family's 2925-position model. RNAcentral also lists the same sequence under 2 other names. The record is from RNAcentral. Lineage: Bacteria; Pseudomonadati; Pseudomonadota; Gammaproteobacteria; Enterobacterales; Enterobacteriaceae.
GGGUUGUGAGGUUAAGCGACUAAGCGUACACGGUGGAUGCCCUGGCAGUCAGAGGCGAUGAAGGGCGUGCUAAUCUGCGAUAAGCGCCGGUAAGGUGAUAUGAACCGUUAUAACCGGCGAUACCCGAAUGGGGAAACCCAGUGUGAUUCGUCACACUAUCAUUAACUGAAUCCAUAGGUUAAUGAGGCGAACCGGGGGAACUGAAACAUCUAAGUACCCCGAGGAAAAGAAAUCAACCGAGAUUCCCCCAGUAGCGGCGAGCGAACGGGGAGGAGCCCAGAGCCUGAAUCAGCAUGUGUGUUAGUGGAAGCGUCUGGAAAGGCGCGCGAUACAGGGUGACAGCCCCGUACACAAAAGCGCAUAUGCUGUGAGCUCGAUGAGUAGGGCGGGACACGUGGUAUCCUGUCUGAAUAUGGGGGGACCAUCCUCCAAGGCUAAAUACUCCUGACUGACCGAUAGUGAACCAGUACCGUGAGGGAAAGGCGAAAAGAACCCCGGCGAGGGGAGUGAAAAAGAACCUGAAACCGUGUACGUACAAGCAGUGGGAGCCCCACCACUAAGCCAGUGGUGAACUCCACAUACGCAUCCUUUGCUGAGGAGACGGUUAACGGAGCGAAAGCGACGUUCAACCUCAAAAGAAGCAGAGGGGGCUUAGUGGUGGGGUGACUGCGUACCUUUUGUAUAAUGGGUCAGCGACUUAUAUUCUGUAGCAAGGUUAACUGUAUAGGGGAGCCGGAGGGAAACCGAGUCUUAACCGGGCGUUAAGUUGCAGGGUAUAGACCCGAAACCCGGUGAUCUAGCCAUGGGCAGGUUGAAGGUUGGGUAACACUAACUGGAGGACCGAACCGACUAAUGUUGAAAAAUUAGCGGAUGACCUGUGGCUGGGGGUGAAAGGCCAAUCAAACCGGGAGAUAGCUGGUUCUCCCCGAAAGCUAUUUAGGUAGCGCCUCGUGAAUUCAUCUCCGGGGGUAGAGCACUGUUUCGGCUAGGGGGCCAUCCCGGCUUACCAACCCGAUGCAAACUGCGAAUACCGGAGAAUGUUAUCACGGGAGACACACGGCGGGUGCUAAUGUCCGUCGUGAAGAGGGAAACAACCCAGACCGCCAGCUAAGGUCCCAAAGUCAUGGUUAAGUGGGAAACGAUGUGGGAAGGCCCAGACAGCCAGGAUGUUGGCUUAGAAGCAGCCAUCAUUUAAAGAAAGCGUAAUAGCUCACUGGUCGAGUCGGCCUGCGCGGAAGAUGUAACGGGGCUAAACCAUGCACCGAAGCUGCGGCAGCGACACCGUGUGUUGUUGGGUAGGGGAGCGUUCUGUAAGCCUGUGAAGGUGUGCUGUGAGGCAUGCUGGAGGUAUCAGAAGUGCGAAUGCUGACAUAAGUAACGAUAAAGCGGGUGAAAAGCCCGCUCGCCGGAAGACCAAGGGUUCCUGUCCAACGUUAAUCGGGGCAGGGUGAGUCGACCCCUAAGGCGAGGCCGAAAGGCGUAGUCGAUGGGAAACGGGUUAAUAUUCCCGUACUUGGUGUUACUGCGAAGGGGGGACGGAGAAGGCUAUGUUGGCCGGGCGACGGUUGUCCCGGUUUAAGCGUGUAGGUAUGUGUUCCAGGUAAAUCCGGUUCACUUUAACACUGAGGCGUGACGACGAGGCACUACGGUGCUGAAGCAACAAAUGCCCUGCUUCCAGGAAAAGCCUCUAAGCAUCAGGUAACAUCAAAUCGUACCCCAAACCGACAC